CUACGGGUUGCUGCAGUGAGGAAUAUUGCACAAUGGGGGGAACCCUGAUGCAGCAACGCCGCGUGGAGGAUGACGCAUUUCGGUGUGUAAACUCCUUUUAUAUGUCAAGAAAAUGACGGUAGCAUAUGAAUAAGCACCGGCUAACUCCGUGCCAGCAGCCGCGGUAAUACGGAGGGUGCAAGCGUUACUCGGAACCACUGGGCGUAAAGGACGCGUAGGCGGGCUUGUAAGUCAGGUGUGAAAUCCUACAGCUUAACUGUAGAACUGCACUUGAAACUACGAGCCUAGAGUAUGGGAGGGGCAGAUGGAAUUAGUGGUGUAGGGGUAAAAUCCGUAGAUAUCACUAGGAAUACCUAAAGCGAAGGCGAUCUGCUGGAACAUAACUGACGCUAAGGCGUGAAAGCGUGGGGAGCAAACAGGAUUAGAUACCCGCGUAGUC
This 439-nucleotide ribosomal RNA is filed under the name uncultured bacterium. Its description in RNAcentral is "partial 16S ribosomal RNA". It matches the Rfam family "Bacterial small subunit ribosomal RNA", at positions 339 to 795 of the family's 1533-position model. The record is from RNAcentral.